GUUGAAGCGCCGGUUUCCGUAUGAUCAUCGAAGUGAAGCAACAUCGAGCCUGGUUAGUAUCUAGAUGGGUGACCGCUUAGGAAAACUAGGUGCUGUAA
Acanthosepion pharaonis is the source of this 98-nucleotide non-coding RNA. NCBI's taxonomy places the organism in Eukaryota, Metazoa, Mollusca, Cephalopoda, Sepiida, Sepiidae. The record is from the annotation of a GenBank genome assembly.